UACCAGAGCCUCUGCAACUCCGAGUGAAGGUGCUUUGUGUGCACGGAGGAGAAACCUCGUUGUGAAGAGAACUUCUUACCUGAACAGUGGUUUGCAGACUCAGCUCCUGGCUGCUCUUUCAACUCAGGCAGCCGUGGGCUUCUCUGUGGGAACACUGCUUGCUUCUCAUCUCAACAAUGCUGUUGUAAAUCAUGCAAGUCAUCACUGAAGUAAACUAGAACCUGCUGAACGUCCGGGUUUACAAGAGCUCCCUCCAGUCGCCUGCAGCGCAUGAUCAAGCACCACRUAUAUGAGCCAGCUUUGCCUGGGUGCCCUUGCUGCAGAUUGGAGGAUGGAUUUUGAGUGGCCUCUCCGUU
Molecule: long non-coding RNA, 356 nt
Organism: Nothoprocta perdicaria
Lineage: Eukaryota; Metazoa; Chordata; Aves; Tinamiformes; Tinamidae
Exons: 4
Source: RefSeq, a predicted model, not a curated record